UCAAGCGAUUAAGGGCGUACGGAGGAUGCCUAGGUAUCGAGAAGCGACGAAGGACGUGUCAGGCUGCGAAAAGCAUCGGCGAGCUGCCAAGAAAGCUU
Molecule: ribosomal RNA, 98 nt
Filed under: Fluviispira multicolorata
Lineage: Bacteria; Pseudomonadati; Bdellovibrionota; Oligoflexia; Silvanigrellales; Silvanigrellaceae
Description: Silvanigrellaceae bacterium 33A1-SZDP partial 23S ribosomal RNA
Rfam family: Bacterial large subunit ribosomal RNA
Source: RNAcentral